Peromyscus maniculatus bairdii (prairie deer mouse) is the source of this 1026-nucleotide non-coding RNA. Lineage: Eukaryota; Metazoa; Chordata; Mammalia; Rodentia; Cricetidae. The record is from RefSeq and is a predicted model, not a curated record.
CUCAUGCUUCAAUCCCAGGAGCUGGGAAGCCAUCUUCAACAAGGUCAAAUUUAGAAAAGAUUUGGCUGGAGACUCGAGACCGAUAAGGAGCAAGCCUUGAGAACGUCUGGUGGGAGAACAGCCCUGACAGAAAGAACAGCACGUGCAGAUGUCUGAGGCAAUAGCACAUCUGCCUGGUGUGUUUGCAAGACAGCAUGGAGCCUGGGCAGCAGAAGUAAGGGAAGGCUGAGGAGCACCAGUGUCCAUUUACAGGAACAGGCUCUGUGAGCCUGGGCUUCAAACAUGCUGCUGCUGCUGCGGCUGCGGCUACUGCUGCUGCUGCUGCUGCUGCUGCUGCUGCUGCUGCUGCUACAGUGUUUCUGACCAGGAGAGUUGGGAUCACCAGGAAACUUACCUGGAGGCUGGGAACGGGGUGAACAACGAGGGAGAAGAGACUCCAUUCAUCACCUAAACAGAUCACCACCGCAGAGCAUCACCACCGCAGAGUAUCACCGCCGCAGAGCAUCACCGCCGCAGAGUAUCACCGCCGCAGAGUAUCACCGCCGCAGAGUGGCCAAAAGCAACAGCGUUGAUUCUUCGGCAGUUACAGGUGGAGAAAGUCCACUGUCAGGGUCAUGUCCUCCUGGGAGGUUCUGGAGGGAAUUCUGUCCCCAGCCUCUCUUUGAGCUUCUGGUGUUACCUGCAGGGGGCUGCUCAUUCAGUAGCUCUCCUGCCUUGCCUGUGCAUUACAACGUGCUCACACCGGCAAAGACCUAAUUUCUAAGUGAGGUCACACUCACCGGGGUCGGGACCUGGACUAGUCUUUUCAAAAGACAGAACCAACUUAGAACAGAGACAAGCUGGGUCAGCUGGCUGGGAAACAAUGAAGACUUAGCCAAUGCACAGAUGAGGAGCAAAGCAGGGCUGAGGAGGCAGCCUGGCUGAGGCUGAUGAUGGGAGGUGAGGCUGGGCAGAGGUGGGGCAUAGGGAGAGGCCUCUGUCUUUCCAACUUGAAAAAAAAAAAGGUGUCGACAGAAAUAAUGCCAA